AUGGUGUCCCCAAGCACCCCGCCAUGUCCCCAGGCACCCCAUUGCCACCACCAUGGGCACCCUAUGGUGUCCCCAGGCACCCCACCAUGUCCCCAGGCACCGCAUGGUGUCCCCAGGCACCCCAUGGCCACCACCAUGGGCGCCCUAUGGUGUCCCCAGGCACCCCACCAUGUCCCCAGGCACCUCACCGUGUCCCCAGGCACCCCAUGGCCACCACCGUGGGCACCCCGCCGUGUCCCCAAGCACCCCGCCAUGUCCCCAGGCACCCCGUGGUGUCCCCAGGCACCCCAUGGCCACCACCAUGGGCACCCCAUGGUGUCCCCAGGCACCCCACCAUGUCCCCAGGCACCCCAUGGCCACCACCAUGGGCACCCCACGGUGUCCCCAGGCACCCUAUGGCCACCACCAUGGAUGUCCCAACAUGUCCCCGGGUGUCCCAACACGUCCCCAGGCACCUUGCCCUAUCCUCAGGCACCCCAUGACCACCACCAUGGGUGGCCCACGGUGUCCCCAGGCUCACCAUGGGUGUCCCAACAUGUCCCCAAGCACCCCACGGUGUCCCCAGGCACCCCGCCAUGUCCCCAGGCACCCCAUGGCUACCCCCACAGGUGUCCCAACAUGUCCCCAAGCACCCCGCCAUGUCCCCUGGCAUCCCAUGGUGUCCCCAGACACCCCAUGGCUACCACCAUGGGUGUCCCAACACAUCCCCAGGCACCCCACCAUGUCCCUAAGUACCCCACCAUGUCCCCCGGCACCCCACGGCCACCCCACCAAGACCCCAAGCACCCCGGGGGAUGCUCCAUGAGGCUGGGUCCAGGGUUGCGGGGCUGGCUUUGGGGUUGGGGCUGGUGUCGGGGCUGGGGGCAGGGUCCGGGUUUAGGGGCAAGGUCCGGGUUUGGGGUCGGGGGCCAGGUUUGGGGGCAGGGUAUUGGAUUUAGGGUCAAGACUUUGGGUUUAGGGGGGUCAAGACUUUGGGUUUGGGGGUCAAGACUGGGUUUAGGGUCAAGACUUUGGGUUUGGGGUCACGACUUUGGGAUUAGGGUCAAGACUUUGGGUUUAGGGUCAAGACUUUGGGUUUAG
RNAcentral lists this long non-coding RNA (1080 nucleotides) under Anser cygnoides (Swan goose). Its description in RNAcentral is "lncRNA (ENSACDG00005011933.1)". The record is from RNAcentral. Lineage: Eukaryota; Metazoa; Chordata; Aves; Anseriformes; Anatidae.